UACGUAGGGGGCAAGCGUUAUCCGGAUUUACUGGGUGUAAAGGGAGCGCAGGUGGUGUGGCAAGUCAGAUGUGAAAGCCCGGGGCCCAACCCCGGGACUGCAUUUGAAACUGCCAUGCUGGAGUGCAGGAGAGGUAAGUGGAAUUCCUAGUGUAGCGGUGAAAUGCGUAGAUAUUAGGAGGAACACCAGUGGCGAAGGCGGCUUACUGGACUGUAACUGACACUGAGGCUCGAAAGCGUGGGGAGCAAAC
This 250-nucleotide ribosomal RNA is filed under the name uncultured bacterium. RNAcentral describes it as "partial 16S ribosomal RNA". It matches the Rfam family "Bacterial small subunit ribosomal RNA", at positions 524 to 773 of the family's 1533-position model. The record is from RNAcentral.